Molecule: ribosomal RNA, 253 nt
Filed under: uncultured bacterium
Lineage: Bacteria
Description: partial 16S ribosomal RNA
Rfam family: Bacterial small subunit ribosomal RNA
Source: RNAcentral
UACGGAGGGUGCAAGCGUUGCUCGGAAUCACUGGGCGUAAAGCGGACGCAGGCGGUUCAGAAGGUCAGGUGUGAAAGCCCGGGGCUCAACCCCGGAAUUGCACUUGAAACCGCUGACCUGGAAUACGGGAGAGGGAAGCGGAAUUCCUGGUGUAGAGGUGAAAUUCGUAGAUAUCAGGAGGAACACCGGUGGCGAAAGCGGCUUCCUGGCCCGAUAUUGACGCUCAUGUCCGAAAGCGUGGGUAGCAAACAGG